UUGGAGUUCUGAUUUACUCGCCUUCUCCCGGCAUUCGUUUUUCGAGUCCUGAUGAUUUUUAGUCGCCUUCUCCCAGGUUCAUUCAGAAGCGGUUAUCUUUACCAAACUCCAACUCAAAUUCUUCAUAGAAUCUGUCAAAAACAAAAUUAGGAAGACUUAACAAAUGGAGAAGCUUCACUAUUGGUCUUCAAUGGAAGAACUAGGGCUUAAUAUUAUUGGAAUAUCCUUUCAAAAAGAAGAAAUUAGAGAAAGAUGAUGAAAUCUCAGCAAUGGUGGUUGUGGGGUUUUAGCAAUUGCUGGGUGUUGUUCAAGGAAGUGGUGGUGAUAAUCAUCAUAAUUUUCAGAGUUGGUGGAAGAAUGGAAGAAUCAAUUCAGAUUAGAAAACCAGAUCAGCCAUUAUACCUGGUGAUGGGAAUUAAGGAAAAAUUAUCUUAAUAGGAGAAAGGGUAUCUAUAAUUUUGGAGAUAACGCAUUAGAGUGUGGUCAAUGUAGAAAGCAAUAGCGCAGAAAUGUGGUCUUCAUUUUGAGGAUGCAGAAUCAAACGAAAGGGCGUCGCGGUCGUGGAAUUCUCCUCUCCUGGCAUGGAGGUGCAGAUUCACAUGGGAUCAUGUUUCUGAAAAGCUUUAAGGUGUUGGAUUGGAUAGUUUUGUUGGAGCUGUCCGUGCAACUUUGAAGGAUAAUGUCAUGGGAGUGUUUUUGGUGCCUGUGCAGGAUUAUAUAAGCAUUCAAACUCUUUAGCCGGAACUUUAGAUUUUUUUAUGGCAAGGUUUCAGUCACGACAACUGUGUACUUAUUCCUUAACUGCAUAAGGUUAGUUUUCAUGGAAAGAGAUAAGAAGGCUGUGUGGUGAUAAUAACGACAUAGGCAGUGAGUACAAUCAAAGAGUGACUGAAGUUACUUGUGAAGUUUUUCGAAAAUGCUUUAUAGCCCCCGCUUUUGUGAGGUGUCAGAAAAAGUGCUCUGAGAAUGGGAACAUCAAAAUGCAACGUUGUGAUUACUACUGCAAGAGAUCAAAUUUAUGGAGAACAAACUGCAUUUAAAGUUGCUUUGUACAGUAAUUUUUUUGAAUUUUCUUCUGCUACUGACUAAUUUGUACAAUAAUUCUCCCUGAUAAAUUUUUCAUGGAAAAUUUCAAAGAGAUUAGUCUAGUUAUGUGUUUAUCUUUUUUAUGUUAUAAUAACGAUCAUUGU
Papaver somniferum (opium poppy) is the source of this 1190-nucleotide long non-coding RNA. RefSeq lists it as uncharacterized. The transcript is spliced from 6 exons. The record is from RefSeq and is a predicted model, not a curated record. NCBI's taxonomy places the organism in Eukaryota, Viridiplantae, Streptophyta, Magnoliopsida, Ranunculales, Papaveraceae.